AGUGAACGCUGGCGGCGGGCCUAAUACAUGCAAGUCGAACGGCAGCACAGUGGAGCUUGCUCCAUGGGUGGCGAGUGGCGGACGGGUGAGGAAUACAUGGGAAUCUGCCCAGUAGUGGGGGAUAACGUAGGGAAACUUACGCUAAUACCGCAUGCGCCCUUCGGGGGAAAGCCGGGGACCUUCGGGCCUGGCGCGAUUGGAUGAGCACAUGUUCGAUUAGCUAGUUGGCGGGGUAAAGGCCCACCAAGGCGACGAUCGAUAGCUGGUCUGAGAGGAUGAUCAGCCACACUGGGACUGAGACACGGCCCAGACUCCUACGGGAGGUAGCAGUAGGGAAUAUUGGCCAAUGGGCGCAAGCCUGAUCCAGCCAUGCCGCGUGAGUGAAGAAGGCCCUCGGGUUGUAAAGCUCUUUUGUCCGGGAAGAAAAGCAUCGGGCUAAUACCUCGGUGUUCUGACGGUACCGGAAGAAUAAGCACCGGCUAACUUCGUG
Molecule: ribosomal RNA, 490 nt
Filed under: uncultured bacterium
Lineage: Bacteria
Description: partial 16S ribosomal RNA
Rfam family: Bacterial small subunit ribosomal RNA
Source: RNAcentral